UCAACAUAUGGCUUGAACAACCUAUAGAAUGCACAUCCCCUGCAACUUAUUCCGUAAUGCUUCAGGAGUGACUUACACAUGAAAAAGAAAGCACACUAAUGUGCUUGAAAAUUAAUCGUGUUAUCUUGCAUUUUUGUGUCAUGAGUGAACCAUAUGAUACAUGAGAGAAUUAAAAUUGGAGCGUAAAAGAUGUUGUUUAUUUCCUAGCUUCUGGUAUUCGAGGAGGAACUCACAGUGAUAAGAAAUCUGUCUUCCAAAGUAAAAGGCUGAUGUUGAGCACUUUUCACCAAGAGGCUAAAUACAAGGGCAUAUCUGUUCUCUUCAGAAAACAUCACGUCUGUGCUACUGCAGGGGAAAGGUCCUGAUUACAAAAGGACUCUACUAAUUAAUGUGAUUUAGAUGACGACACUUUUUUUUUUCUUGUUGAAAUGCAAAUGAGAUAUUUUGUGCAUGAAAAGUUUGACAUUGGUGGAAUGAAUUAUGGAGAUACUGAUGUACUCAAAAGGGCAGACUUGGGUACUUGUGAGAAGACCCAGGAUAAAAAAAACGUUUGAACUUGAACUGCUUGAUUGAAAGAAAGUUUGCACAAAGAAGGAUAUCCACAAAAGAAUUACUCUUUCUACUAGCUUUGCUGACUUAAGAGCUCCUUCUGAUUGUUGCUGAGGUGAGAGCACUAAAACUGAAGGACCAGCAGGAUUUACUAGCUCCAGCACUCUUAGGCACUUUCAGAGUUGUUCUCUGGUUACCCCAUAUAGUUAUGUAAUCAAUCUUCAUUUUUCAUUGACUGUUCUUUAUUUGUUUGGCCUUAACCCUAAUUUGAAGGGCAUUGAAGAAGGCUGUCCAAAACAGGAUACACCCAGAACAGUAUUAGGCUCCUGUGUCACCUACUUCAUUGCUUAGAGGAAAAUGAUCCAGCUACCUGACAUGCAGUACCAGGACGAUAAACACCCAGUGAUUUUGCAGCACAUUUUGGGAAGAUCACUGGCAGACUGACAGCUUUUAGACAUGUAUGGCUGCAAGUAUGAGAAUAAUUACACUAGUUUUCUCCACAUCUGUGAAAAGGUGAAAUUCCUUCCCAAAAUGUGUCCAAUUGGCUGAAUAUUCCAAUACCCAUGUUUUGAAAGCAUUUUAUUUUAUUACUCUGAUUCUAGAGACUAGUAAAUAUCUCAUAGGAACUAUGAUAAUUAAUUGAAAAUUCUUCAUCAGAAUGAAUGGGAGAUGAACAAAGAUGGCAAGGAGCUAAAACUAGAAAGCUC
This 1256-nucleotide long non-coding RNA is filed under the name Anas platyrhynchos platyrhynchos (common mallard). RNAcentral's name for it is "lncRNA (ENSAPLG00000024603.1)". Lineage: Eukaryota; Metazoa; Chordata; Aves; Anseriformes; Anatidae. The record is from RNAcentral.